UACGUAGGGCGCAAGCGUUGUCCGGAAUUAUUGGGCGUAAAGAGCUCGUAGGCGGUGUGUCGCGUCGGCCGUGAAAACCUGCAGCUUAACUGUGGGCUUGCGGUCGAUACGGGCAUCACUGGAGUUCGGCAGGGGAGACUGGAAUCUGGUGUAGCGGUGAAAUGCGCAGAUAUCAGGAGGAACACCGGUGGCGAAGGCGGGUCUCUGGGCCGAUACUGACGCUGAGGAGCGAAAGCGUGGGGAGCGAACAGG
RNAcentral lists this ribosomal RNA (252 nucleotides) under uncultured bacterium. RNAcentral's name for it is "partial 16S ribosomal RNA". It matches the Rfam family "Bacterial small subunit ribosomal RNA", at positions 524 to 776 of the family's 1533-position model. The record is from RNAcentral.